RNAcentral lists this ribosomal RNA (489 nucleotides) under uncultured bacterium. RNAcentral's name for it is "bacterial SSU rRNA". It matches the Rfam family "Bacterial small subunit ribosomal RNA", at positions 903 to 1397 of the family's 1533-position model. The record is from RNAcentral.
AAAGGAAUAGACGGGACCCCGCACAAGCGGUGGAUCAUGUUGUUUAAUUCGAGGAUACGCGAAGAACCUUACCAGGCCUUGACAUACCGUGCGAAGCUAUAGAGAUAUAGUGAAGGCUAACACGGAUACAGGUGGUGCAUGGUUGUCGUCAGCUCGUGUCGUGAGAUGUUGGGUUAAGUCCCGCAACGAGCGCAACCCUCAUUGCUAGUUGCCAUCAUUAAGUUGGGGACUCUAGCGAGACUGCCAGUGACAAACUGGAGGAAGGUGGGGAUGACGUCAAAUCAUCAUGCCCCUUAUGGCCUGGGCUACAAACGUGAUACAAUGGCUGAAACAAAGGGAAGCGAAGGGGUGACCUGGAGCAAAACUCACAAAAGCAGUCUCAGUUCGGAUUGAAGUCUGCAACUCGACUUCAUGAAGUCGGAAUCGCUAGUAAUCGCAGAUCAGAAUGCUGCGGUGAAUACGUUCCCGGGGUUUGUACACACCGCCCGU